CGCGUAGGCGGCUUUGCAAGUCAGAUGUGAAAGCCCCGAGCUUAACUCGGGAAUUGCAUCUGAAACUGCUUAGCUUGAGUCCUGGAUGGGGUAGUGGAAUUCCCAGUGUAGCGGUGAAAUGCGUAGAUAUUGGGAGGAACACCUGCGGCGAAGGCGGCUACCUGGACAGUGACUGACGCUGAGGCGCGAAAGCUAGGGGAGCGAACGG
This 208-nucleotide ribosomal RNA is filed under the name uncultured Acidobacteriota bacterium. Its description in RNAcentral is "uncultured Acidobacteria bacterium partial 16S ribosomal RNA". It matches the Rfam family "Bacterial small subunit ribosomal RNA", at positions 568 to 775 of the family's 1533-position model. Lineage: Bacteria; Pseudomonadati; Acidobacteriota. The record is from RNAcentral.